This 465-nucleotide ribosomal RNA is filed under the name Vreelandella stevensii. RNAcentral's name for it is "partial 16S ribosomal RNA". It matches the Rfam family "Bacterial small subunit ribosomal RNA", at positions 338 to 795 of the family's 1533-position model. Lineage: Bacteria; Pseudomonadati; Pseudomonadota; Gammaproteobacteria; Oceanospirillales; Halomonadaceae. The record is from RNAcentral.
CCUACGGGGCGCAGCAGUGGGGAAUAUUUGACAAUGGGCGAAAGCCUGAUCCAGCCAUGCCGCGUGUGUGAAGAAGGCCUUCGGGUUGUAAAGCACUUUCAGUGGGGAAGAAAGCCUUGGGGCUAAUACCCUCGAGGAAGGACAUCACCCACAGAAGAAGCACCGGCUAACUCCGUGCCAGCAGCCGCGGUAAUACGGAGGGUGCGAGCGUUAAUCGGAAUUACUGGGCGUAAAGCGCGCGUAGGCGGUCUGAUAAGCCGGUUGUGAAAGCCCCGGGCUCAACCUGGGAACGGCAUCCGGAACUGUCAGGCUAGAGUGCAGGAGAGGAAGGAAGAAUUCCCGGUGUAGCGGUGAAAUGCGUAGAGAUCGGGAGGAAUACCAGUGGCGAGGGCGGCCUUCUGGACUGACACUGACGCUGAGGUGCGAAAGCGUGGGUAGCAAACAGGAUUAGAUACCCCGGUAGUC